This 377-nucleotide ribosomal RNA is filed under the name uncultured bacterium. RNAcentral's name for it is "bacterial SSU rRNA". It matches the Rfam family "Bacterial small subunit ribosomal RNA", at positions 29 to 407 of the family's 1533-position model. The record is from RNAcentral.
AUUGAACGCUGGCGGCAUGCCUUACACAUGCAAGUCGAACGGCAGCACGGGAGCAAUCCUGGUGGCGAGUGGCGAACGGGUGAGUAAUAUAUCGGAACGUGCCCGGUCGUGGGGAUAACGUAGCGAAAGCUACGCUAAUACCGCAUACGAUCUACGGAUGAAAGCGGGGGAUCGCAAGACCUCGCGCGAUUGGAGCGGCCGAUAUCAGAUUAGGUAGUUGGUGAGGUAAAGGCUCACCAAGCCGACGAUCUGUAGCUGGUCUGAGAGGACGACCAGCCACACUGGGACUGAGACACGGCCCAGACUCCUACGGGAGGCAGGCAGUGGGGAAUUUUGGACAAUGGGCGCAAGCCUGAUCCAGCAAUGCCGCGUGCAGG